UACGUAGGGGGCAAGCGUUGUCCGGAUUUAUUGGGCGUAAAGAGCGUGUAGGCGGCUAGGUAGGUCCGUUGUGAAAACUCGAGGCUCAACCUCGAGACGCCGAUGGAAACCAUCUGGCUAGAGUCCGGAAGAGGAGAGUGGAAUUCCUGGUGUAGCGGUGAAAUGCGCAGAUAUCAGGAAGGACACCCGUGGCUAAGGCGGCUCUCUAGUACGGUACUGACGCUGAGACGCGAAAGCGUGGGGAGCGAACAGG
RNAcentral lists this ribosomal RNA (253 nucleotides) under uncultured bacterium. RNAcentral describes it as "partial 16S ribosomal RNA". It matches the Rfam family "Bacterial small subunit ribosomal RNA", at positions 524 to 776 of the family's 1533-position model. The record is from RNAcentral.